Non-coding RNA from Podarcis lilfordi (Lilford's wall lizard), 1109 nucleotides. The record is from the annotation of a GenBank genome assembly. NCBI's taxonomy places the organism in Eukaryota, Metazoa, Chordata, Lepidosauria, Squamata, Lacertidae.
GGGGGCCACUAGGGCGCAUCGGAAGAUGGCUGACAAUAACAUCUCUCCGACCCACAUGAGGUAAUUUGGAGGCUAUGAUGGGGGUAAUUAGCCUCCUUAACCCCUCCAGGAUUGUGGGGGGGACGGCCCUUGCCUGCUGUGCCCUAUACCACCCCCGAAUUUGUGGGGAUGGGGGCACUAGGCACAAAGCCCUCCUGUGGGAUUCCGGCACUCCUCGAAGCCGUCUCUGAUCCGCGCCACUAGUUUGCAAGAAUCUUCAAAAGAAACAAUUUGGACGAGAUAAAUUGCACAUACUUCAAGGAAAGAGGGGGAGUAAAGACUGCUGACAGAAGAGAUCUCUGAUAAAACAAGACAAGAAUAAGAUAUGAGAAGAUACGUCAAGAUACGGUACGGCAAAUGACUGAGGGGGGAGGGGGGAAAAACUCUCUUUUAUUUCUCUAUGUGAUUAAACAAGAAUCCCCUCCCUAAAGAGUCAGAAAUGUCGUUUUAAGGACUUAAGUUGUGGAUUUAAGGCUGUGUGGAGAUAAAUUUUCGAACCAAAGCAAUGUUCCAAGACGAAGCUGGAAAUUUAAGAGUUUUGGAAUGACGCAGUUAAAAAUGCCGUCGCCAUUUUGGGAGGCACUGUCGGAGCUCUUGAGUCUGGGAGGAGAAGAAACAGAGUUGUUUACAUAUCGUGGACUAACUCCUCGGUGGGAUUUAAGAGUGACAACUGCCUAAUUUAUGAUGGAAAGAGCGAUGUUAUCUACGAAGGAGAUGAUUUAUGGAAACCAUCUGGACUUAGAUUGGAAGAACGGGAAAUUCACACAGGAUUAUUAUAUUUGCUUAUCGGCUUAAGGAGACUAACAGAAGAGAUCGUAAAGGAAAAAGAAAAAUUAUAUGAACAAGAUAUGAUGUGGAAACACCAAGAUAAGAUUGGAUAGAACUAUGAACUCUGUUUGGACUGAUUGGGACUGAUUUGGACAUUAAUGCAGUAAUAAGAAGAUGAUUUGAAUCCCCUUUGGAUCUUGAAGUAUGGGUUCCCCCAACAAAAUUUAAAAAUUUGGCUUUGUAAUUUGGAAUUUAUGUGAUGUGAUUUAAUUUGAUGUGAUUGGCCAGUUAAUAAAAAUUAU